Molecule: ribosomal RNA, 566 nt
Filed under: uncultured bacterium
Lineage: Bacteria
Description: bacterial SSU rRNA
Rfam family: Bacterial small subunit ribosomal RNA
Source: RNAcentral
CCUACGGGAGGCAGCAGUGGGGAAUUUUCCGCAAUGGGCGAAAGCCUGACGGAGCAAUACCGCGUGAGGGAAGAAAGCCUACUGGGUUGUAAACCUCUUUUUUCAGGGAGGAAAAAAAUGACGUGUACCUGAAGAAUAAGCAUCGGCUAACUCCGUGCCAGCAGCCGCGGUAAGACGGAGGAUGCAAGUGUUAUCCGGAAUUACUGGGCGUAAAGCGUCUGUAGGUGGUUUAAUAAGUCAACUGUUAAAUCUUGAGGCUUAACUUCAAAACAGCAGUCGAAACUAUUAGACUAGAGUAUAGUAGGGGUAAAGGGAAUUUCCAGUGGAGCGGUGAAAUGCGUAGAUAUUGGAAAGAACACCGAUGGCGAAAGCACUUUACUGGGCUAUUACUAACACUCAGAGACGAAAGCUAGGGUAGCAAAUGGGAUUAGAUACCCCAGUAGUCCUAGCUGUAAACAAUGGAUACUAGAUGUUGAACAGAUCGACCUGUGCAGUAUUAAAGCUAACGCGUUAAGUAUCCCGCCUGGGAAGUAUGCUCGCAAGAGUGAAACCUUAAAGAGUAAUGA